CCUACGGGAGGCAGCAGUGAGGAAUAUUGGUCAAUGGGCGCAAGCCUGAACCAGCCAAGUCGCGUGAGGGAAGACGGUCCUAUGGAUUGUAAACCUCUUUUGUCGGGGAGCAAAAGACGCCACGCGUGGCGUUCCGCGAGUACCCGACGAACAAGCAUCGGCUAACUCCGUGCCAGCAGCCGCGGUAAUACGGAGGAUGCGAGCGUUAUCCGGAUUUAUUGGGUUUAAAGGGUGCGCAGGCGGAAGAUCAAGUCAGCGGUAAAAUUGAGAGGCUCAACCUCUUCGAGCCGUUGAAACUGGUUUUCUUGAGUGAGUGAGGAGUAUGCGGAAUGCGUGGUGUAGCGGUGAAAUGCAUAGAUAUCACGCAGAACUCCGAGUGCGAAGGCAGCAUACCGGCGCGCAACUGACGCUCAUGCACGAAAGUGUGGGUAUCGAACAGGAUUAGAUACCCUUGUAGUC
This 459-nucleotide ribosomal RNA is filed under the name uncultured bacterium. RNAcentral's name for it is "partial 16S ribosomal RNA". It matches the Rfam family "Bacterial small subunit ribosomal RNA", at positions 338 to 795 of the family's 1533-position model. The record is from RNAcentral.